Molecule: ribosomal RNA, 649 nt
Filed under: Salmonella enterica subsp. enterica serovar Kentucky
Lineage: Bacteria; Pseudomonadati; Pseudomonadota; Gammaproteobacteria; Enterobacterales; Enterobacteriaceae
Description: partial 23S ribosomal RNA
Rfam family: Bacterial large subunit ribosomal RNA
Source: RNAcentral
AGGGAAACCGAGUCUUAACUGGGCGUUAAGUUGCAGGGUAUAGACCCGAAACCCGGUGAUCUAGCCAUGGGCAGGUUGAAGGUUGGGUAACACUAACUGGAGGACCGAACCGACUAAUGUUGAAAAAUUAGCGGAUGACUUGUGGCUGGGGGUGAAAGGCCAAUCAAACCGGGAGAUAGCUGGUUCUCCCCGAAAGCUAUUUAGGUAGCGCCUCGUGAACUCAUCUUCGGGGGUAGAGCACUGUUUCGGCUAGGGGGUCAUCCCGACUUACCAACCCGAUGCAAACUGCGAAUACCGAAGAAUGUUAUCACGAGAGACACACGGCGGGUGCUAACGUCCGUCGUGAAGAGGGAAACAACCCAGACCGCCAGCUAAGGUCCCAAAGUCACAGUUAAGUGGGAAACGAUGUGGGAAGGCUCAGACAGCCAGGAUGUUGGCUUAGAAGCAGCCAUCAUUUAAAGAAAGCGUAAUAGCUCACUGGUCGAGUCGGCCUGCGCGGAAGAUGUAACGGGGCUAAACUGUGCACCGAAGCUGCGGCAGCGACGCUUAUGCGUUGUUGGGUAGGGGAGCGUUCUGUAAGCCUGCGAAGGUGUCCUGUGAGGGAUGCUGGAGGUAUCAGAAGUGCGAAUGCUGACAUAAGUAACGAUAA